Molecule: non-coding RNA, 21 nt
Filed under: Arabidopsis thaliana (thale cress)
Lineage: Eukaryota; Viridiplantae; Streptophyta; Magnoliopsida; Brassicales; Brassicaceae
Source: RNAcentral
UAUCACCUGCCAUCUUCCUCC